Molecule: ribosomal RNA, 370 nt
Filed under: Lentibacillus salicampi
Lineage: Bacteria; Bacillati; Bacillota; Bacilli; Caryophanales; Bacillaceae
Description: bacterial SSU rRNA
Rfam family: Bacterial small subunit ribosomal RNA
Source: RNAcentral
UUUAUUGGAGAGUUUGAUCUUGGCUCAGGACGAACGCUGGCGGCGUGCCUAAUACAUGCAAGUCGAGCGCGGGAAGCAGCGGGUCGCCCUUCGGGGCGUGCGCCUGUGGAACGAGCGGCGGACGGGUGAGUAACACGUGGGCAACCUACCUGUAAGACUGGGAUAACUCGUGGAAACGCGAGCUAAUACCGGAUAACACUUCUGGCUGCAUGGCUGGGAGUUGAAAGGCGGCAUUUAUGCUGUCACUCACAGAUGGGCCCGCGGCGCAUUAGUUAGUUGGUGAGGUAAGAGCUCACCAAGGCCACGAUGCGUAGCCGACCUGAGAGGGUGAUCGGCCACACUGGGACUGAGACACGGCCCAGACUCCUAC